Molecule: ribosomal RNA, 468 nt
Filed under: uncultured bacterium
Lineage: Bacteria
Description: partial 16S ribosomal RNA
Rfam family: Bacterial small subunit ribosomal RNA
Source: RNAcentral
GACGAACGCUGGCGGCGCGCCUAACACAUGCAAGUCGAACGGAGCUGAGAGAAGCUUGCUUUUCUUAGCUUAGUGGCGAACGGGUGAGUAACGCGUGUGUAACCUGCCCUGGAGUGGGGGACAACAGUUGGAAACGACUGCUAAUACCGCAUAAGCCCACGAUCCGGCAUCGGGUUGAGGGAAAAGGAUUUAUUCGCUUCAGGAUGGACUCGCGUCCAAUUAGCUAGUUGGUGAGGUAACGGCCCACCAUGGCGACGAUUGGUGGCCGGACUGAGAGGUGGAACGGCCACAAUGGGACUGAGACACGGCCCAGACUCCUACGGGAGGCAGCAGUGGGGGAUAUUGCACAAUGGGGGAAACCCUGAUGCAGCGACGCCGCGUGGAGGAAGAAGGUUUUCGGAUUGUAAACUCCUGUCGUUAGGGACGAUAAUGACGGUACCUAACAAGAAAGCACCGGCUAACUACGUG